UACGUAGGGGGCUAGCGUUAUCCGGAUUCACUGGGUUUAAAGGGUGCGUAGGAGGGCAGGUAAGUCAGUGGUGAAAUCUCCGAGCUUAACUUGGAAACUGCCGUUGAUACUAUCUGUCUUGAAUAUUGUGGAGGUGAGCGGAAUAUGUCAUGUAGCGGUGAAAUGCUUAGAUAUGACAUAGAACACCAAUUGCGAAGGCAGCUCGCUACACAUAUAUUGACUCUGAGGCACGAAAGCGUGGGGAUCAAACAGG
Molecule: ribosomal RNA, 253 nt
Filed under: uncultured bacterium
Lineage: Bacteria
Description: partial 16S ribosomal RNA
Rfam family: Bacterial small subunit ribosomal RNA
Source: RNAcentral